RNAcentral lists this ribosomal RNA (492 nucleotides) under uncultured bacterium. RNAcentral's name for it is "partial 16S ribosomal RNA". It matches the Rfam family "Bacterial small subunit ribosomal RNA", at positions 29 to 507 of the family's 1533-position model. The record is from RNAcentral.
AGUGAACGCUGGCGGUAGGCCUAACACAUGCAAGUCGAACGGCAGCACAGUAAGAGCUUGCUCUUACGGGUGGCGAGUGGCGGACGGGUGAGGAAUACAUCGGAAUCUACUUUUUCGUGGGGGAUAACGUAGGGAAACUUACGCUAAUACCGCAUACGACCUACGGGUGAAAGCAGGGGAUCUUCGGACCUUGCGCGAUUGAAUGAGCCGAUGUCGGAUUAGCUAGUUGGCGGGGUAAAGGCCCACCAAGUCGACGAUCCGUAGCUGGUCUGAGAGGAUGAUCGGCCACACUGGAACUGAGACACGGUCCAGACUCCUACGGGAGGCAGCAGUGGGGAAUAUUGGACAAUGGGCGCAAGCCUGAUCCAGCCAUACCGCGUGGGUGAAGAAGGCCUUCGGGUUGUAAAGCCCUUUUGUUGGGAAAGAAAAGCAGCAGGUUAAUCCCCCGCUGUUCUGACGGUACCCAAAGAAUAAGCACCGGCUAACUUCGUG